CCAGUACUUUAGCGGAGAUGCAUUGGUGCCUUCGGGAACUCUGAGACAGGUGCUGCAUGGCUGUCGUCAGCUCGUGUUGUGAAAUGUUGGGUUAAGUCCCGCAACGAGCGCAACCCUUAUCCUUGUUUGCCAGCACUUCAGGUGGGAACUCCCGGGAAACUGGCGGGGAUAAACCGGAAGAAGGGGGGGACCACCUCCAGUCCUCCUGGCCCUUACCAAUAGGGCUACCCACCUGCUACAAUGGCGCAUACCGAAGGCCGCCAACUUGCGAGAGUGAACGAAUCCCAAAAAGUGCGUCCUAAUCCGGAAUGGAGUCUGCCACUCCACUCCCUGAAGUCCGAAUCCCUAGUAAUCCUAAAUCAAAAUGCUUCCGUGAAUACCUUCCCCGGUCUUGGACCCCCCGAA
This 405-nucleotide ribosomal RNA is filed under the name bacterium 2-3(2015). RNAcentral describes it as "bacterial SSU rRNA". It matches the Rfam family "Bacterial small subunit ribosomal RNA", at positions 988 to 1386 of the family's 1533-position model. The record is from RNAcentral.